RNAcentral lists this ribosomal RNA (351 nucleotides) under uncultured bacterium. RNAcentral's name for it is "bacterial SSU rRNA". It matches the Rfam family "Bacterial small subunit ribosomal RNA", at positions 72 to 422 of the family's 1533-position model. The record is from RNAcentral.
AAGUGGAGCAAUCCAUGAGUAAAGUGGCGACCGGGUGAGUAACACGUGACUAACCUACCCUAGAGUGGGGAAUAACCUCGGGAAACCGGGGCUAAUACCGCAUAACAUCGCGAGGGGAAGAUCCUUGCGAUCAAAGGAGCAAUUCGCUCAAGGAGGGGGUCGCGGCUGAUUAGCUAGUUGGUGAGGUAACGGCCCACCAAGGCUAAGAUCAGUAUCCGGCCUGAGAGGGCGCACGGACACACUGGAACUGAAACACGGUCCAGACUCCUACGGGAGGCAGCAGUGGGGAAUUUUGCGCAAUGGGGGAAACCCUGACGCAGCAACGCCGCGUGGAGGAUGAAGUCCCUUGGG